RNAcentral lists this ribosomal RNA (670 nucleotides) under Salmonella enterica subsp. enterica serovar Muenchen. RNAcentral's name for it is "partial 23S ribosomal RNA". It matches the Rfam family "Bacterial large subunit ribosomal RNA", at positions 2261 to 2925 of the family's 2925-position model. The record is from RNAcentral. RNAcentral also lists the same sequence under 39 other names. Lineage: Bacteria; Pseudomonadati; Pseudomonadota; Gammaproteobacteria; Enterobacterales; Enterobacteriaceae.
GUGGGUAGUUUGACUGGGGCGGUCUCCUCCUAAAGAGUAACGGAGGAGCACGAAGGUUGGCUAAUCCUGGUCGGACAUCAGGAGGUUAGUGCAAUGGCAUAAGCCAGCUUGACUGCGAGCGUGACGGCGCGAGCAGGUGCGAAAGCAGGUCAUAGUGAUCCGGUGGUUCUGAAUGGAAGGGCCAUCGCUCAACGGAUAAAAGGUACUCCGGGGAUAACAGGCUGAUACCGCCCAAGAGUUCAUAUCGACGGCGGUGUUUGGCACCUCGAUGUCGGCUCAUCACAUCCUGGGGCUGAAGUAGGUCCCAAGGGUAUGGCUGUUCGCCAUUUAAAGUGGUACGCGAGCUGGGUUUAGAACGUCGUGAGACAGUUCGGUCCCUAUCUGCCGUGGGCGCUGGAGAACUGAGGGGGGCUGCUCCUAGUACGAGAGGACCGGAGUGGACGCAUCACUGGUGUUCGGGUUGUCAUGCCAAUGGCACUGCCCGGUAGCUAAAUGCGGAAGAGAUAAGUGCUGAAAGCAUCUAAGCACGAAACUUGCCCCGAGAUGAGUUCUCCCUGAGACUUUAGGUCUCCUGAAGGAACGUUGAAGACGACGACGUUGAUAGGCCGGGUGUGUAAGCGCAGCGAUGCGUUGAGCUAACCGGUACUAAUGAACCGUGAGGCUUAACCUU